AAAUAGCUGAUAUCUCAAACAACUAUUGUUAGCUAGCAGGUGCGAAAACCAGUCUUAACUCUGCCAUAUCAGAGCGCUGGGAAGAAAGUGGUCAGUCUGACCUCACGCACGCAUACA
This is a long non-coding RNA of Melanotaenia boesemani (Boeseman's rainbowfish), 117 nucleotides long. RefSeq lists it as uncharacterized. The transcript is spliced from 3 exons. NCBI's taxonomy places the organism in Eukaryota, Metazoa, Chordata, Actinopteri, Atheriniformes, Melanotaeniidae. The record is from RefSeq and is a predicted model, not a curated record.